UUAAGAUACUAAGAGCAUACGGUGGAUGCCUUGGCGAUAUCUGCCGACGAAGGACGUGACAAGCUGCGAAAAGCUGCGGAGAGAUGCAAAUAAUCGGCGACCCGCAGACAUCCGAAUGGAGCAAUCCGGCUGUGAUGAUGCACAGCCAUCCAUGCCCAAGAGCAUGAGAAGGGAACCGGGCGAACUGAAACAUCUAAGUAACCCGAGGAAAAGAAAUCAAACGAGAUACCCCAAGUAGCGGCGAGCGAACAGGGAAGAAGCCCAAACCGGUGAAGGAAACUUUACCGGGGUUGAGGACCAUCAGACCCGCGAAGAACCUUAGCCGAAACUGUUGGGAAACAGUGCCGAAGACAGUGAAAGCCUGGUAGGCGAAAAAGAGAAACGCGGAGAUGGCACCAGAGUACCGCGGGACACGAGAAAUCCCGUGGGAAGCCGGGGGGACCACCCUCCAAGGCAAAACACAGAUAUCGACCGAUAGCGCAUAGUACCAUGAGGGAAAGGUGAAAAGCACCCCGGGAGGGGAAUGAAAGAGAACCUGAAACCGUAUGUUUACAAGCAGUCGGAGACCGCUUAAUAAUAAGGUCGACGGCGUGCCUAUUGAAGAAUGAACCGGCGAGUUACGAAGCCUGGCAAGGUUAAGCAGGAAAUGCGGAGCCGAAGCGAAAGCGAGUCUUAAGAGGGCGCAAGUCAGGAAGCGUAGACCCGAAACCACAGUGAUCUACCCAUGUCCAGGUUGAAACACAGGUAAAAAUGUGUGGAGGACCGAACCUAUAUCCGUUGAAAAGGGUUAGGAUGAGGUGUGGGUAGGGGUGAAAUUCCAAUCGAACGUGGAGAUAGCUGGUUCUCCCCGAAAUAGCUUUAGGGCUAGCCUCAGGGAAAAGAUUGCAGGCGGUAGAGCACUGAUCAGGAGAGGGACCUACCCGGUUACCAAACCCAGUCAAACUCCGAAUGGCUGCAAUCAUACCUGGGAGUCAGACUGCGACUAAUAAGGGCCGCAGUCAAAAGGGAAACAGCCCAGACCAUCAGCUAAGGUCCCUAAUGCCGUGCUAAGUGGCAAAGGAUGUGGCAUUUCAUAAACAACCAGGAUGUUGGCUCAGAAGCAGCCACCAUUUAAAGAGUGCGUAAUAGCUCACUGGUCGAGAGACGCUGCGCCGAAAAUGUCCGGGGCUCAAGCACGGAACCGAAGCUAUGGCAUGAUAGCAAUAUCAUGGGUAGGGGAGCGUUCUUAUAAGGAAGAAGCAUGACCGGAAGGACAUGUGGACAAAUAAGAAGUGAGAAUGCCGGUAUGAGUAUCGAAAAGAAAGGUGAGAAUCCUUUCCACCGAAAGCCCGAGGGUUCCUGAGCAACGAUCGUCGACUCAGGGUAAGUCGGGACCUAAGCCGAGGCGAAAAGCGUAGGCGAUGGACAACAGGUUGAAAUUCCUGUACCGGAUCAAGUCGAUUGAGCGAAGGAGCGACGCAGGAGGGCACAUGAUCGCGCGGCUGGAAGAGCGCGUCCAAGUGCGUAUGUUGCAGCAGAGGAAAACCCCUGCAGCUAAAAGCAGAGACAUGAUGGGGAGUUAAAGGAAACUUUGACGAACUCAUGAAUCCCACACUGCCAAGAAAAACUUCUAGCGAGACAAGAUCCGCCCGUACCGUAAACCGACACAGGUAGGCGGGGAGAGAAUCCUAAGGUGCGCGGGAAAACCCUCGUUAAGGAACUCGGCAAAUUGCAUCCGUAACCUAGGGAGAAGGAUGGCCCCCGGUCAGUGAAGAGCAGAAACGCUCAGAGCUAAAAGGGGCGGCAGAAAAGAGGCCCAAGCAACUGUUUACCAAAAACACAGGUGCCUGCGAAAGCGAAAGCUGAAGUAUAGGUGCUGACGCCUGCCCGGUGCCGGAAGGUUAAGGAGAGAAGUUAGCGAAAGCGAAGCAUCGAACUGAAGCCCCGGUGAACGGCGGCCGUAACUAUAACGGUCCUAAGGUAGCGAAAUUCCUUGUCGGGUAAG
RNAcentral lists this ribosomal RNA (1984 nucleotides) under human metagenome. RNAcentral's name for it is "bacterial LSU rRNA". It matches the Rfam family "Bacterial large subunit ribosomal RNA", at positions 1 to 1980 of the family's 2925-position model. The record is from RNAcentral.